UACGGGAGCAGCAGUGGGGAAUAUUGGACAAUGGGCGGAAGCCUGAUCCAGCCAUGCCGCGUGUGUGAAGAAGGCCUUUUGGUUGUAAAGCACUUUAAGCGAGGAGGAGGCUACUAGUACUAAUACUACUGGAUAGUGGACGUUACUCGCAGAAUAAGCACCGGCUAACUCUGUGCCAGCAGCCGCGGUAAUACAGAGGGUGCGAGCGUUAAUCGGAUUUACUGGGCGUAAAGCGUGCGUAGGCGGCUGAUUAAGUCGGAUGUGAAAUCCCUGAGCUUAACUUAGGAAUUGCAUUCGAUACUGGUCAGCUAGAGUAUGGGAGAGGAUGGUAGAAUUCCAGGUGUAGCGGUGAAAUGCGUAGAGAUCUGGAGGAAUACCGAUGGCGAAGGCAGCCAUCUGGCCUAAUACUGACGCUGAGGUACGAAAGCAUGGGGAAGCAAACAAGGAAUUAAGGAAUAACC
RNAcentral lists this ribosomal RNA (461 nucleotides) under uncultured bacterium. RNAcentral describes it as "bacterial SSU rRNA". It matches the Rfam family "Bacterial small subunit ribosomal RNA", at positions 340 to 787 of the family's 1533-position model. The record is from RNAcentral.